ACAGAUGCUGACGAGGAGGGAUCAUUA
RNAcentral lists this ribosomal RNA (27 nucleotides) under Fusarium oxysporum f. sp. momordicae. Its description in RNAcentral is "partial 18S ribosomal RNA". Lineage: Eukaryota; Fungi; Ascomycota; Sordariomycetes; Hypocreales; Nectriaceae. The record is from RNAcentral.